RNAcentral lists this ribosomal RNA (220 nucleotides) under Mycoplasma haemofelis. RNAcentral's name for it is "partial 16S ribosomal RNA". It matches the Rfam family "Bacterial small subunit ribosomal RNA", at positions 156 to 376 of the family's 1533-position model. Lineage: Bacteria; Bacillati; Mycoplasmatota; Mollicutes; Mycoplasmatales; Mycoplasmataceae. The record is from RNAcentral.
AAAGCGAUUAAUACCCCAUAGGAAGCUUUAUCCAUGAUUUAGCUUUUAAAGCCUUCGGGCGCUGAGGGAUUGGGAUAUGCUCUAUUAGCUAGUUGGCGGGAUAAAAGCCCACCAAGGCAAUGAUAGAUAGCUGGUCUUAGAGGAUGAACAGCCACAAUGGGAUUGAGAUACGGCCCAUAUUCCUACGGGAAGCAGCAUUAGGGAAUCUUCCACAAUGGAC